GGCAGAGGGAGCCUGACAGGAAGUGAGGAUUCCAGACUUCAAACACAAACAUUAUGAAAAACAAGCAACAUCUGCAAACAAGUUCCGGGUCCUACCUCAAACCUCCUCAGAAGAUCCUGGGAAUGAUGGGUGAUUGCCGUGAGUUUGCUAUGGACAUCUUCUUAUAAAGACGUUCUACCUGUCAUCAGGCUACGAGCCACAGGCAACAUUCCAGGUUCAUUACACUGGAAAUAUGCAGCUGGUGGAUGCCUCCUGUCCUGAGAACCCCAGCCUCCAUUGGGGGUCACUUUCCAGGUCCCCUGCCAUCAGACUGAUGCUUCUGAAUUAUCCAACCACUACUGCAGUGAGCAGUAGCAUACUUUUCCUCCUUGCUUGUUUAUGAAAAUAUGCAUCAACUUACUAGAUGUCUUCUUGCUAUAGUUGGAUUUAAUUCAUUAUCGUUCCUUUCAAUAAAAUCACAGGAAAACAUG
Molecule: long non-coding RNA, 470 nt
Organism: Mastomys coucha (southern multimammate mouse)
Lineage: Eukaryota; Metazoa; Chordata; Mammalia; Rodentia; Muridae
Exons: 2
Source: RefSeq, a predicted model, not a curated record